Long non-coding RNA from Mobula hypostoma (lesser devil ray), 550 nucleotides. RefSeq lists it as uncharacterized. NCBI's taxonomy places the organism in Eukaryota, Metazoa, Chordata, Chondrichthyes, Myliobatiformes, Myliobatidae. The transcript has 4 exons. The record is from RefSeq and is a predicted model, not a curated record.
CGCACCUGACAUGGUAUUGAAUCAAAGAUGAUUUAUUCAUACAAUGUAUAAAUAAAGGCUUCAAAACCAAAAAAAAGAUGGAUUUGUGGACUGCUGGCAUCAGUUGAAAGCUGCCCCCCUCUAUUUUCUACCACCUUUGAAUUGUGAAGACCCGCUGGGUUUGGUCCUUGACAUCUGGGCUCGUUCCAAUACAACCUCACAGAGACUUCUGAUAAUCAUCAGCUUUCUCAUACCUGGUGUUCACCAGCGUAGUAUAAUGGGGUCAAUACACUACAUGCAUCACAAGAAUCAAGACCAACGUGACCUUACCUGGCCAUGUGGGAACACAACCUUUCCCCCAUGUCCCAUGUCACAUGCUUGCUUUGCUAACUCAGUAAUUAAUUUCACACAUUUUUACAGUGAGAAGUAAAGAAACAAUCACUAAAUGAAUGAAGUAAAUCCUUUGCAGUUUGAAUUAUCGGUCACCAAAUCUUGAGAACUACAUUACAUUACAUUGAAAAGCACUUCAGAUAUCACUCUCAAACACACAUUACUAUGAUAAACCUAGCAU